UGGGCUGUCAACAAGCGCGGGCCUGGCGGAGCACGGCGGCGCGCGGAGACCGAGAGGCAACAGCGAGCGGCUGGGCUCCCGGCGGCGCGCCCCUCGGCAAGGCCGGGAGUCGCGCCAGUCGGAGCCCCCAGCCGAGCGCGGCCCUCCUGCCUCUCAGCGUACAUCAGUCCGGAGUGCAGCCAGCGGGUAUGACCGACCCACCAGGGGCGCCGCCGCCGGCGCUCUCAGGCCGCGGGUGAAGAAGAAAGUACGGUCCCGCUUGGUCCGGAGCGAGGAGGUGGCCCCGAGCAAGGAGGUGGCCCAGAGCAAGGAGGUGGCCCGGAGCAAGGAGGUGGCCCGGAGCGAGGAGGCCCAGAAAGAGGAGGCC
This 367-nucleotide non-coding RNA is filed under the name Otolemur garnettii (small-eared galago). RNAcentral describes it as "Bag-1 internal ribosome entry site (IRES)". It matches the Rfam family "Bag-1 internal ribosome entry site (IRES)". Rfam says of the family: This family represents the bag-1 internal ribosome entry site (IRES). When expressed the BAG-1 protein is known to enhance the anti-apoptotic properties of Bcl-2. Lineage: Eukaryota; Metazoa; Chordata; Mammalia; Primates; Galagidae. The record is from Rfam by way of RNAcentral.